UGCCAAGUUUAUGGCCUUAAGUAAGUGGGAACACUAGCAAAUUUGUUCUAGUGGAAACAGACAGUCCCAGGAGUUGGAGCUAGGACUACAUUUGACCCCAAAGUGUGAUAAGUACAAUCUAUAGGGAAACCUAAAUAUGAAGCUAAAAUUGUAUUCUGUAGGAAUAAUGUUGGCUAAGUCUGUAAUCAAAGGAGAAAUAUUAAUGAAAUAAAAAACUGAAAAGAAAUUAAUUAUGAGGUAGAAAAUAACAGAAAUGAAAGCCUUGAUAAUAAAGUCCAAAAAUUAGUAGUAGAAAGACACGAGAGAAUUAGUCUAUUCAUUAAAACCAUAAAUAUCUUACUUAAAGCAUGAAGUUUUAAUUCUGGAAUCCAAAUGUCUUCAAGAAAAUGGAUGUUCAGGGCUCGGGACAUAGCUCAGGCUAAGCGCUCGAGUUCAAGCUCCAGUCCCUUGUGAAAAGCUAGGUUGUACUCACACACUUGUCAGCCGGGCACCAGGUGUGCUCACACAUUUGUCAGCCGGGCACCAGGUGUGUUCACACACUUGUCAGCCAGGCACCAGGUGUGCUCACACACUUGUCAGCCAGGCACCAGGUGUGCCCACACACUUGUCAGCCGGGCACCAGGGGUGUUCACACACUUGUCAUCCGGGCACCAGGUGUGUUCACACACUUGUCAGCCGGGCACCAGGUGUGCCCACACACUUGUCAGCCGGGCACCAGGUGUGCCCACACACUUGUCAUCCGGGCACCAGGUGUGCCCACACACUUGUCAGCCGGGCACCAGGUGUGCUCACACACUUGUCAGCCCAGCACGAGGGAGAGGGAGGCAACCUAGCCUACUAGGUGAGCUCUUUGCCAGUAGAGACCCUGCCUCAGAAAACAUGCUGUUAGCACCUGAGGAAUGACAUCCCAGCGUGACCUCUGACCUCCACACACAUGCGCAUCCAUGAGAGAGGAGGGAGGGAGGAGAGAGCGAGCACAGAAAAUGG
This is a long non-coding RNA of Alexandromys fortis (reed vole), 987 nucleotides long. RefSeq lists it as uncharacterized. The transcript is spliced from 3 exons. The record is from RefSeq and is a predicted model, not a curated record. Lineage: Eukaryota; Metazoa; Chordata; Mammalia; Rodentia; Cricetidae.